RNAcentral lists this long non-coding RNA (1075 nucleotides) under Olea europaea subsp. europaea. The record is from RNAcentral. Lineage: Eukaryota; Viridiplantae; Streptophyta; Magnoliopsida; Lamiales; Oleaceae.
CUCGCAAAAAGGAUCAAAACCAAAACAUAGUUCUUUUACAUAAAUAACUCCCACUAUCCCAAAAAUAUCAAAUGUUUCCACAAUGUCCUUAUUAACAACAUGUGUCUUAUAGACUUUAGAGCGAGUCCCUUAAUCAAAGGGUCUGCAAUCAUUGCCUCUGUGUUGAUAUGCUCUAUUUUUGUCUGCCCUUCUUGAUUAUAUCUCUAACCACAAAAUAUUUGAUGUCAAUAUGCUUUGACUCACCAAAACUUUUAUUAUUCUUUGAAAAGAAUACUGCUGCACUAUUAUCACAGUAGAUGGUGAUCGGUCUUGAGAUGAAAUCAACAACUUUCAAGACAGAGAUGACAUUUCUUAACCAAACGGCUUGGACUGUAGCCUCAUAACAUGCCAAAAAUUCAGCUUGCAUAACAGAAGAUGCCACUAGAGUCUAUUUAGCACUUUUUCCAAAAAAAUAGCACCACCAACUAAUGUAAAAAUAUAACUUGAGGUUGAUUUCAAAUCAUCUUGACAUCCAACAAAAUCAGAAUCUGAAUAUCCUACCAUCUCAAGAUGAUUUGAACGAUGGAAUAUAAGCAUAUAACUUUCAGUUUUUUUUUUCAAAUAUCUCGUAACUUUCUUAGCUACUUUCCAAUGCUCUUGUCCUGGAUUAGACUGAAAUCUGCUAAGGACACUGACUGCAUAGGCUCUAUCCGGCCUAGUGCAAACUUGAGCAUACAUUAAGCUCCCCACAGCACUAGCAUAUGGAAUCAUCUUCAUAGACUCCCUUUUUAGCUCAUUCCUUGGACAUUGAGUUUUGUUAAACUUAUCUCCUUUUAUGAUGGGUACAUCACUAGGUGCACAGUUUUACAUAUUAAACAUUUCUAGAACAUGUCGUAUAUAAGUUUUCUGAGAAAGUCCCAAUAAACCACGAUUUCUAUCACGAUAUUUUUCAAUACCAAGUACAUAGGAAGUUUUUCCAAGAUCUUUCAUCUCAAAAUUAGCAGACAACAUUUUUUUUGUCUCAUGAAGUAACCCUAAGGUAAUGCUAACAAGUAGAAUGUUAUCAACAUACAGUAUAAGAAAAAUAAAAUUUCUC